ACCCACUGCUAAUCAUCACCAUCAUUCCAAUCAUCAUCAUCAUCACCACAAACACCUUACAUUUGAUUAAUUAAUUAAUCCAAAAGAGAUCGACACCCAAACUAAAAUAAUCCCCCAGGUGAUUACAGAAGAAAAAAAUUAAACUAAACAAACAAUCGAUUGAUCACCAUGAUUUGAUUAAUUAAUUAAUUAACGAGAGCAGCAUGCAGCAAAAGCUCCAAACACCUAAUCUACGCUCGCUAAUCAUCACAUGCCAUUUUGCACAGCUACCUCAUCCUCGUUAGCCAUGGCCAUUGCUAGCUUUCAGCUCAGCUCAGCACAGUGACUUCACUUUGCUUGAUUAGCUCACCGCGGGCUCGCGGCGGCGC
RNAcentral lists this long non-coding RNA (368 nucleotides) under Oryza brachyantha (malo sina). RNAcentral describes it as "long non-coding RNA (OBRA_LNC002776)". The record is from RNAcentral. Lineage: Eukaryota; Viridiplantae; Streptophyta; Magnoliopsida; Poales; Poaceae.